This 383-nucleotide ribosomal RNA is filed under the name uncultured bacterium. RNAcentral's name for it is "bacterial SSU rRNA". It matches the Rfam family "Bacterial small subunit ribosomal RNA", at positions 30 to 414 of the family's 1533-position model. The record is from RNAcentral.
AUUGAACGCUGGCGGCAUGCCUUACACAUGCAAGUCGAACGGCAGCACGGGAGCAAUCCUGGUGGCGAGUGGCGAACGGGUGAGUAAUAUAUCGGAACGUGCCCAGUCGUGGGGAUAACGUAGCGAAAGCUACGCUAAUACCGCAUACGAUCUAUGGAUGAAAGCGGGGGAUCGCAAGACCUCGCGCGAUUGGAGCGGCCGAUAUCAGAUUAGGUAGUUGGUGAGGUAAAGGCUCGCCAAGCCGACGAUCUGUAGCUGGUCUGAGAGGACGACCAGCCACACCUGGGACUGAGACACGGCCCAGACUCCUACGGAGGCAGCAGUGGGGAAUUUUGGACAAUGGGCGCAAGCCUGAUCCAGCAAUGCCGCGUGCAGGAUGAAGG